This 375-nucleotide RNase MRP RNA is filed under the name Aspergillus fischeri NRRL 181. Its description in RNAcentral is "Neosartorya fischeri NRRL 181 RNase MRP". It matches the Rfam family "RNase MRP". Rfam says of the family: RNase MRP is an enzymatically active ribonucleoprotein with two distinct roles in eukaryotes. The record is from Rfam by way of RNAcentral. Lineage: Eukaryota; Fungi; Ascomycota; Eurotiomycetes; Eurotiales; Aspergillaceae.
UCCUCGCUCAAAGAAUCGCAUUCAAAGCUCACACACAGAAUAUCUGCCCGGUAUUCUCAUUCCUCUACCAAGAGGAACCUAGCUUUGGGAGAAAGUCCCCGGACACCCUGCUCGAUCCUCUAGAUCCGUGGCAGGCAAUGCGGAAACGCGCCGCCAUAGAAGCAAUUUGAUAGCGGCUGACUGCCCUACUCCCUCCCGGCGCCCGUGCCUAUAUCUGACGCCCUUCGCGGUGGAAACAAUGGUGGUAUAGCGGGGUGCCGGAGAGGGGUUGUUUCAUUGGGUUGCCUUUCGUCGUGUUUGGAUAGUCAUGCGAUUGCCCUGAUCCUCCUUUUGGGGGUUUUGGGUAACUCAAUGGGGCUCAUUCUUGAGGCGAGG